RNAcentral lists this ribosomal RNA (658 nucleotides) under Goffeauzyma iberica. RNAcentral's name for it is "LSU rRNA". It matches the Rfam family "Eukaryotic large subunit ribosomal RNA", at positions 38 to 733 of the family's 3401-position model. The record is from RNAcentral. Lineage: Eukaryota; Fungi; Basidiomycota; Tremellomycetes; Filobasidiales; Filobasidiaceae.
GCAUAUCAAUCAGCGGAGGAAAAGAAACUAACAAGGAUUCCCCUAGUAACGGCGAGUGAAGCGGGAAGAGCUCAAAUUUGAAAUCUGGCAGCCUUCGGCUGUCCGAGUUGUAAUCUAUAGAGGCGUUUUCCGUGCCGACCCAUGUACAAGUCCCUUGGAACAGGGCAUCAUAGAGGGUGAGAAUCCCGUACUUGACAUGGACCUUCGGUGCUCUGUGAUACGCUCUCAAAGAGUCGAGUUGUUUGGGAAUGCAGCUCAAAAUGGGUGGUGAAUUCCAUCUAAAGCUAAAUAUUGGCGAGAGACCGAUAGCGAACAAGUACCGUGAGGGAAAGAUGAAAAGCACUUUGGAAAGAGAGUUAAACAGUAUGUGAAAUUGUUGAAAGGGAAACGAUUGAAGUCAAUCAUGUCCUUGGGCCUUUACGGGUCCUUGGAUGGGGUCAACAUCAGUUUCGUCCGCCGGAAAAGGGCUGGAGCAAUGUAGCACUCUCGGGUGAACUUAUAGGCUCCUGUCGCAUACGGUGGAAGAGACUGAGGAACGCUUUUACAGGAUGUUGACAUAAUGGCUUUAAACGACCCGUCUUGAAACACGGACCAAGGAGUCUAACAUAUCUGCGAGUAUUUGGGUGUCAAACCCGAGUGCGCAAUGAAAGUGAACGUA